UAACGAAUCUUCCGCAAUGCACGCAAGUGUGACGGAGCGACGCCGCGUGUGGGACGAAGUUCUUCGGAAUGUAAACCACUGUCAGGGGUUAGAAAGUUCUGAUCAACCCCAGAGGAAGGCACGGCUAACUCUGUGCCAGCAGCCGCGGUAAGACAGAGGUGCCGAGCGUUAGGCGGAAUCACUGGGCUUAAAGCGUGUGUAGGCGGGUCGUUAAGUGUCUUGUGAAAUCCCCCGGCUCAACCGGGGAAUGGCUGGGCAUACUGGCGAUCUUGAGCAGUCUAGGGGCAGAUGGAACAAGUGGUGGAGCGGUGAAAUGCGUAGAUAUCACUUGGAACGCCAAAGGUGAAAACAGUCUGCUGGGGACUUGCUGACGCUGAGACACGAAAGCCAGGGGAGCGAACGGGAUUAGAUACCCCCGUAGUCC
RNAcentral lists this ribosomal RNA (424 nucleotides) under uncultured bacterium. Its description in RNAcentral is "bacterial SSU rRNA". It matches the Rfam family "Bacterial small subunit ribosomal RNA", at positions 355 to 796 of the family's 1533-position model. The record is from RNAcentral.